RNAcentral lists this ribosomal RNA (447 nucleotides) under uncultured bacterium. RNAcentral describes it as "bacterial SSU rRNA". It matches the Rfam family "Bacterial small subunit ribosomal RNA", at positions 355 to 825 of the family's 1533-position model. The record is from RNAcentral.
UCGGGAAUAUUGGACAAUGGGCGAAAGCCUGACCCAGCAACGCCGCGUGAAGGAUGAAGUAUUUCGGUAUGUAAACUUCGUAAGAAUAGGAAGAAUAAAUGACGGUACUAUUUGUAAGGUCCGGCUAACUACGUGCCAGCAGCCGCGGUAAUACGUAGGGACCAAGCGUUGUUCGGAUUUACUGGGCGUAAAGGGCGCGUAGGCGGUGUGUCAAGUCAGUUGUGAAAUCUCCGAGCUUAACUCGGAACGGUCAACUGAUACUGUCACACUAGAGUACAGAAGGGGCAAUCGGAAUUCUUGGUGUAGCGGUGAAAUGCGUAGAUAUCAAGAGGAACACCUGAGGUGAAGACGGGUUGCUGGGCUGACACUGACGCUGAGGCGCGAAAGCCAGGGGAGCAAACGGGAUUAGAUACCCACGUAGUCCCUGAGCGGGCUGGCAAGGCGCAU